Zophobas morio is the source of this 649-nucleotide long non-coding RNA. RefSeq lists it as uncharacterized. Lineage: Eukaryota; Metazoa; Arthropoda; Insecta; Coleoptera; Tenebrionidae. The record is from RefSeq and is a predicted model, not a curated record. The transcript is spliced from 2 exons.
GGCGAGUAGUUUUUCAUGAAAAACCCGGUACGCGGUAUUGUAAUUAAUGCCGGACUGGGAUUACAAAACUACAGUAUAUACCACUUAUACCAGGGAUAUAUACAGAACAUUCACUAAACUAAACCGGGAUACAAUAAUGAUGUUUUCUCUUUGAGAAUAAUAGUGAUAAUCGUAUCACGAAGAUACCUAACUUCCCUGCCUAACAUAUCGCGUUUAUCACGUGACAUCCCCACAUUCGCAUGAAUUAGAUGUGUGUAUUAUGGAAAAGUGCGUCUUCCAUUGUGUCAGCAGCUUUUACGUGAGAGAUAACCCUUAAAUCGAACUUUGAGAGUGCUCUUUGCUCUACCUAAUCUAAUAUUAUUGUUCUCGUCGUUCCAACUGAUAGUAAGCAGUAGUGUAAGGUGUUUGUUAUUACUGAGGCAAAUGUUUGACGCUGGAGAUACAUUGGCUUUGUUAUUGGGAGUGGUGUUAAGUGCCAUGGGGAUCCUGGCCUGUUUAGGGGCAUAUGCUAGAAAAAAAGCACAUUUUGAACGCAUUUAAUGUAAUACACCUAAAAUAGUACAUGUAUAUAUUGUAUCCAUAAGUAUAACAAUGACUCUAAAAUGUAUCUACUGUAUCGAAAUAAAUAUAAGUAGCUUUAAAGUUUGAA